GAGAGUAAAGUAAAAAGAUUUGAUUAGAAACUUGGAAAAGUGCGUUUUUAUGAAAGGGGGAAAAUAUGAAGAGAAACAAGAAAAAGAAAUCACCCUUGAAACCAUAGAGCAAACAAAAAGAAAAGAAAGAAAAAAAACAAAGAAAAGGCUCAUGGUUGUGUGGAUGUGAAAAGAAAAAGAAAAGAAAAAAGACGGGGAUCAAAGAAAUGGAAAUUGUGUAGAGUUGAAUGUUU
This 233-nucleotide long non-coding RNA is filed under the name Lathyrus oleraceus (garden pea). RNAcentral's name for it is "Pisum sativum (pea) long non-coding RNA (PSAT_LNC027583)". The record is from RNAcentral. Lineage: Eukaryota; Viridiplantae; Streptophyta; Magnoliopsida; Fabales; Fabaceae.